This is a long non-coding RNA of Lagopus muta (rock ptarmigan), 11891 nucleotides long. RefSeq lists it as uncharacterized. The record is from RefSeq and is a predicted model, not a curated record. The transcript is spliced from 3 exons. NCBI's taxonomy places the organism in Eukaryota, Metazoa, Chordata, Aves, Galliformes, Phasianidae.
CUGGUGAGGAUUAUAUUUAAGACCUAAAUAUUAACUACUUCUUAUCUAACCAUUUUUAUGUUUAUUUAGCUUAGGAUUUGGAUUCUCGAUUGCUAAUAAGUGCAACACAUCAGCAGUAUGAAGUACUUUCAUUGGAGUGUUUUCACUGAAGUCUAGAAUGAAAUUUAUUCAUCAAAUAAAACAAGUCAACAUGCUGCCAAGUAUUUUAGGCAAGAAUAUUAACUGUUGUUUGGAAAAUUAAUAAUGUUUCUAAUGUUAAUUUGGUAUUUUGCUAGGAUAUGCACUGUAACGUGUAUUUCAGAAGCAGCUCUCUGGCUCAUUCUGAGGAGGUGGUGAUGUGGCAGCUGCUGAGCAGAGCAGGGGGAGCCAGGACCUUGGGCUGCCUGCUCUGUGUGGAAGCCCAAGAAGUACUUGUGCGGGCAGGUAGGACUGAUGAAGUCCAGCACACAGGUAACCCUUAGUCUUUUCUUUUCCCUGAGCAUUGAGCCUGAAAACACGGGGCUUUUCUGCACUCUGCAUCCCUCCUGCAUUCUGUUACAUUUGGGCAAUGUUCCUGCCCCCUCAUAGCAAAAUUUUGUCUCCACUGCUGAGAAGUGCUGAACCAUCUUUGCCUUACCUUCAUUAUUGGUUUAUGGUUCAUUGGUUUAUGGUCUAAGCUAUAGUCUGAUUAUGGAAUCCUUAAAAACAUUACACAAAGGAGACAGAAAAAAGCCAUGUGUGAAUAUGGGGGAAAACCACUGACAACAAACAAGUGUCUUCAACUAGUAGGAGAUGGUAAUUACUUUUUAAGCUAAAACUUACAUGUUUUUUCCAAAAUAUUCAUUAAUAAGUUAUUGAAGCUCCUUUUGUAGGAUAAAGCCUUUAUAAAUACUGCAUGAUGACUUAGCUCAAUUUACAAAAAUAUUUGCAGGAAACUAUUUGAUUUGUAAGUCUAAUGUCAUUAAAUUUGCAAAUGGAAUAAAAAAGGGAAAUAAUGGGAAGAAAACCUAGUCUUUCCACUAGUUUAAGCUGUUCAAGAAUUAAUUGAUAUGUGUUUCUGAGAAUUUUUUAGGUAUAUAAUGAAAUAUAUUGAGUAGUGUAGAUGUUUGACAAAUGUCUACUUUCCUCUUAAAAGUUCAGACACAAAUAUUACAUGAUAAUUUCUGAGUCUGUCCAAAACUCUAUUAUCAUAACAGCUUCUUGGAAAAAAAAAAGGGAGAUUAUAUUAGGACUGAUUUUAGCUAUGAAGCUAAAGUGUAGACACAGUAAUACAAAUGCAAGCCAUGUUCUUUUUGAUCUGGAGUGUCACCUCGGACAUAGCAUUGCACUGGUGGCUGGUGUUCUUUCUGUUUACUGUCUUGGGUUUUUCAGGGCACAUGCAAGGGCUUUGGUCUGACUGCUGCUCAGAUAAGAAAAAAAUACCAUAAUGGAUUUAAGACUAAUUUCUUUUAGCCUUUUAUCCUUCAGGGAGGCCAUUAAAGAGAGGAGAAAGUAUAUUUUGUACCUUGCUUCAUACUACCUUUGUUUUGGUUCAGCUUGCCUACAGUAGCAUCAUAUACAGGUGGGUCAGCCAAACAAACAUGAGGAAGGAUGGAACGCUCACUUAAAAAACAAGCAGACAAAAACCCCAAACCAAAACAAUUUUUUUGAUCUGAGAUACACGGCAUUCCUUUUCUCGUCACAGUCAGGACUGAUUUUGAAAUGUUUGUUGUUUGUAGAAACAGCAUAAAGAUCAUUAACAGUGAAAUUAAAGAAAUAUAUCUUUUUAUUAGAAGUCCUUUUUUAUUUUAUCGAGAAUUCUUAACCCCUUCAUUACAAGCAGUGUUUUUUUUUUUUUUAGAUCUCUCCCACCACUGUUUUUCUUCAUUGCACUUUUUUUUUAUUAUAUCAUUUCUUACAGCUCCCUUCUUUCAACUCUCUCUACACUUGUACUUUUCAUCUUACGGAGCCUGCGUCUUAUAGGAUUUGGACAUGUUGAUGGGUUCACCUCUUAGUAUAUUACACAGUUUGGUCUAUUCUAGAGAACUGUCACAGGUUUUUGCUCUAUUUCUGCUGCAGUGAAUUUUCCUUACUGUUCCUCUGUAAUUUGUAUGAAUGGUGCUACCAAAAUCACGAGAAUUUUUUGGACUGGAUUUCAGCCAUCCUUAAUAACUGAAAGCAUGCAGGCCUAGUGGCUGAAGAAAAAAUGGGCAUUAUUCUUUAAAAAUAUAAUCGUUUAAACAGUUUUAAAACAAAGCAAAACAACAGCCCCUUCUUCCUUCUCCCUCCAGAACAAAAAAUAUAUGUAUAUAUUAAAAAAAAACCAAACAAUGAACAACAAAACCGAACAACUGCAACAGAAAAGGAAGCUUGUUUAUAGAUAGGAAUAUUGCCACCUACAUGUAUGCAUUGCAAACAUGCACAAGAAAACCUCUGCAGUCAUGAACUAAUAUUUUUCCUACAGUUUGUCAAACUGACAUUACUGGAGAUGGGUCAUGCAAAGCAGUCUCUUUCAGAUGACAUUAUUUUUACACAGUAUGAAAGAACCUUAAUUCUGUUCUUAUUAUGCUUUAAGGAUUUUUAUGUGGAGCUCCACUGACUCUCAUGAGAUUUCAGCCAUAUAAAGUAAAUAUUAGGAAUAAGUAUGUAAGAGCACGGAGAAAGGUUUUCAAUAGUCAGGCUUCUGAGAUGUUGACAACAAUUGUUGUUGCAUGCUGCAUGACAACCUCAAAUUUUUUUAGCAACUGUGUCUUACUGAUUGAAUAAAGAGUGGUCAGUAACUCACGUGGAGGUUUCAUCACUAAGACUUCUUCCCCUAGCUUUCUACCAACUAGGUCUACUAUUAGACUAUUGUUAAAAUUUAUUGUUAAAAUUUAUUUAUUAAUUUAUCAGUUAAAUUUACUGCGAUAUAUGUAUAUACAUAUAUAUGUAUAUAUAUGUGUGUGUGUGUAUGUGCAUAUAUACAUAUAUAUAUUAAUGCCAUGAAUAUAUGUCAGAGUGUUUAUCAGACCUACUCAGAGGUUUUAAAUCAAUCAGAUCUGAUAUAAAAAAACAGUUAUUGCUCCUUUAAAUAUACCCACAAUGGUUUAUUUUUUGAAGUGACAGCAAUUGACCAUUUGCUGCACUGGGUUAAACAAAACUAUCUUAAGAUGCUGCCAAAUCAAGAUGAGAUACAUGCUUAUGUAGUAUAAGAAGAAAACUGGUUUUUGCUUACACACCAAGGCACAUUCUGAAGUUGAGACAAAGUAAAUCAGUGCAGACAAGUAGAAGGCUAAGGCAUACCUUACUGUGUCAAACUUACUGCCAUAAAAUGACAAAUAAUACAAAUAUCUCUGGUGCAACUUUGAAAUUAUUUAUGAUUAAUAAAAUUGUGAACAAUACAAGGGAAUAAACAUUGACCAAGUGAGAAUAGUUUCUAAGGGCAGACAUCUCCAUCUUCUCUGAGAAAUGCAAGUUUGGGGCACAAAGGUUUUUUUUUUUUUUUAAGUGAAGCCAGCUUUAUCCAAGUCAUCAGAGAGUAAAUAAUAGGUGCGUCAUGAAUAAACUGCACUUACUGUGCAAGUUUCUGGUAGAAUUCUUGGAUUGUUUGUCUAUGUCUAAUUUCAGUCUUUUUCUGCACCAUUUUCACUCCAUAGAUAUACUGCUUAUACUCAAAUAGCAGGAAAAGUCUUCAGAAUUCCUACUGGAAGAUGCAGCUACUGUUCAGAGCUCUUCCCUGUGCACAGCCAUGGAACGGAUGGUGAUUCCCCUCUCUUGCAGAUAGGUUCCAGUUUAUCCUGGCAUCCAUGUGGGUAAUCAUCUUUCAUGAUUUUGCUACUGAAAGUGUAAAUUCCACCAUAGAACAAUUUUAUUUUUUUUUAAGCAUGGUGACAGAUGGAUGUAGGAAAUUAUUUCACAACUUGUGACUACUUUAUCAUUUUUCAUGUCUCAUUUUAUCUAAAAUCCUUAGAAUAAUUAAUAAAAGAUAAUGGGAAGAAACACAUCAAAUCCGUCUGAGAGAUGGGGAGAAUUUGGGAAUACAUAUACUUGCCUGAUUGUGGAGUCAUAACAAUCUUAACAGAAAAAACACCAGAUUGCUUGUUAAAAUGGCUGGAAACAAAUGCAGAUUUAGUCAUCUAAGAAUUACGGUUGAGAUGAAACCAGAAAAGAUUGGAGGGUUUUUGGAAGCGGUUAAUUAACCUUUAGUUGUACGAUUUGGAUGGUUUUGAUUUUUACUUGUCCAAAAGAGAAUUAUUUCCAAAGAGAAGAAAAAAUGCCCCAUAUUUUUUAUUGCUGUGCUUAUGGAGGACCACUGUCUCACUAUGACUCUCACCAUGUUUUAGGAUAAUCUCAGGAAAGCAAUAAGCUACAUCAUAGCUUUAUUUGCUCAAAAGGGUCACUACAUACCCCUAUCACUCAUAUUCCCCUAAAAAAAUUGUAGCUGUAGUGCCGUUAUUUCUAUGUUCCUGGAGACAAAUGAACACUCAUAAACCAUCUGUCUUCUUCCCUUAUGGCUACUUGUUUAAGUCUGGAUUUUGAUAUAGCGACUAUCAAUACACUGGUUAAGCAUAAUGACCCCUUGGAUACAGAGGACACAGUGGUUAUCAGAAGGCCCUGUGCACAAUUGGUGGUUGGAUUUGGUUCCCCAAAUAUCUUAGGGCCCCUGCAGAUUGUAACUUCCCUGGUUAGCCUGCAGCCCUCCUGCCUGCAGGUUCCCUGCCAUGCACCACUUCCUUGUCUGCAUUUGACAUCUGCUGUAAUACAGUGCUACUGUGCAACAAGCAUUGGAAGUGACUCCUAUAAAAACUGAGUUGCUGUGAGCAGUAUCUGUCAGAAGCUUCACUGCGACUUCCACCCAAUGGAAACAUCAGUAAUCUUAAAUUACACUGUCAUAAGUAGCAAAGAUAUUAAAAUAGGAUGCACAUGUAACAAUCAAAGGGAAAAGAAACUCUGAAGCAAUUGAUAGAUACAAGAUAUUUCUGUAUCAUUUAAUUGGGACUUUCAGCUAUGUUAGGGUAACCAUAAGUAAGGCUAAAACCAAGCUUUUACAAUGAAUUUGCAUUUCUCUAGCAUGUACUUUUCAAAACUGAAAUUCUGCAUAAGGUGCUAGGAUAAUACUCUGCUAUGGAACACUGAAACAUGAAUGUGCAAAGUAAAUGGCCUAGGAUCUUUCAGCAGGUGAACUUUCAAAGUUUGUGAAGAUUAGCUACAAUGUAAAGGUAUUUAUAUAGCUCCUGCAAAGUACCUGAAAUCUGAGGUAUAACAUUUUCUUGUUAAAGCAAUAAUGCUGGGAAUUUACACUGACAAAUUGUGUUGAAUGUGGAUGAAAAUCUUCAGAGUGCUUUUGUUAAGCUGACUCUGGAGUGGGGAUAAAAACAUUGCCCCUGUAGGUCUCACAAAGCUCUUCAGAGAGACUAAAGAGUAACUGCUGCCAGUGAACAAUAGAGAGGUUGAUGCCAAGGGAAGUCAAAUGGUUUGCCUGCCCUAACAAAAGAAGGGUACAAAUGCAGGUCCUGUGCAUUCCUGUGCUGUUUACUGCACUGUACUGUCUUUUUAGAUGUAUGCAACAGCACAUUUGAUCACUGUUUCCAAGGGAAUUUGGAGAGUCUCAGAUUUAAAAACAUUUACCAACUACAAAGUUAAAAAAAGAAUAUGCAAUCUUAUCUAGUUAUAAGUGGCAUGUGCAAUUGCAUAAAAUGUUUAAAUAUUCUGACAACUAGAAAUAAUGAUGUCAUUUGUGUGCUUUCUUCUAAUCUGACCAGUUAAAUCUUUGGCUACUUCAUAUAUCAGAAAGAAACAUUUGCAAAACUUUACUGUCUCUUUUGCUUUAUCUUGGCUUUGAUUUUAUUUAUAUUGUUAUCUCAUUAAAAUGAAAUCAAGGAAUGAUCUUUUGAUCUCAUGUCAUAAUUCCUUUCUGAAACACACUGGAUGAUAAUAUGCUGUCUUGGAAAUGCGAUUUUAAUUGCUGUAGUGCUUUAUUUUCCUACUCUUUUCACUGGAAUAUCUAUGAGGUGAUUCAAUAAGCUAGCUUUUACCACUCAGCAAAAAUGAGAACUAAUAAGUUAAUGCGUCAAAUAAUUAAAGCUAUUAAGUACUUCAUGAGAGUUUUCACCAACAAUAUUUACUGCUACACACAGGCUAGCUCUAGGCAUCAGUGUGCAUUUAUCUUCGCGACAGGGCAGCCAUUAGUUGGGUAAUAGAUGGAUCGCAGAUGGAAAAUAGAUACUGGUCUUUCAGAAUGAUCCUUUUCAGGUGCACUAGUUUUGCUGCAAUACGCCACAGAGAUGUAACCAACAGCAUCAACUUAGCCAGUGUUUUAGUUAAUUUAGUUAUUAUCACAUAAUUCAGCAUAAAUGUCCAAAAGACACUUGUACCAAAACACACUACAAAAUUGCUGUCCUGGUUUAACUAUACUGCCUCCUAACAAAAUUUCUAAGGCCAUAACUAUUGAUUUGUCUUUCCAAAAGAGAUGUUUUGGUAAGUCUGCAAUUAGAAUUCAUGAUAUGUUAUGGAAGAUUGGCUGAUUUGAAGAUGGACAAACACACUGACCUACAUAUUUUACACAAUAAUAUUAUGCAGUUGUUACAAUUAAGUUAAUUAGAAGGUAACAGGGUUGUAAUAACAUUUUAUCAGCUAUACAGUUAGUGUCAGAAAAGUUGUUCGUAAUGUGAUAUGAACUAAAGAUAGCAUCUCUGAAUAUGAGUAUUGAUCAUACUUUGACAAAAUAUUAAGAGAAAUCAGAUACAAAAAAAAAUCCAGUUACGGGGCUCUUAAAAGAGCAAAACUGUUUCCUUCUGUACUCCACAGAGGGAAAGUUCUUGCAUAACUUUUGAUGUGCAAAGGUGCUAAAAUUUAAUUAUUAGUGAAGACUGAAGUAACCUGAGACCCUCAAGGAAUAGAUAACUGCAAAAUAUUAUUUCACUUAGAAUUACUUGCUUUAUUUUAUUUACAGCUAUUUUCUCCAAUUUUCAGAAGAUUGCCAAGUCAUAUUAGUGUUAAAAAAUAAGACAUCUACAUUGAUCUGGACAGAGGUUCAGUAUGUUCCUCUAUAAUCAGUGUGUUAUGUUUCUAUAGAUAUGUCAUAUCAAUACCUUCAACCUUCGUGAUACGAAAAAUGAUAGCACUACUCAAAAAGUUUUCCACUUACAUAUGAGUCUUAACAGCCAAAACUGACUUUUUUCCUCACACUCUUUUAGAGCCCUGCAGGUAGUAAUGUUACUAACUCAUACACUCUCCUUCAGUUUAGAUAUGGAAGUGUCACACACAAAAUGUUCAAUUUUUAUGAAAAUGUAUUUCUAAAAGGUUUAUUAUUUUUAUUUUUAAAGUAACAGUAUUUUUCUUUGAAGGAUUCUUAGAGAAAAUGGAAAUAGAGUUCUGCUAAAUAACUUUCAGAUAAAAAGUUGCAUUUCCUGACAAGGUUAUCUUUUCCAGUCUACUCUUUCCUGUCCCCAGACAUCCCCCCAUGCAGAACCCAACCUUACAGAAGCUGGAUGUGCAUAACUCCUAUCAUGUUUAUCCUUCUCUUUCGGCAGCUUUGGCAGAGACUGCAAUGGAAAUCUGCCUUCUUUGGUCACUGAUCUUCCCCAGGACUGCAUAUAUUCCUUUGCACUCCCUCCUGCGUGAGGAACCUGUGUUUGCAGCAUGCCUGUGUAAAGUGCUGGGUGGUAGAUACAUAGAUACAUGUGCAUGGUGUUGGAAGACAAGAAAAGGCUGUACUUCCAGGUUACUCCAUUUUCAUGAUGUUUGACAGAUUUUAAUGAGGCAGUACUAAGAGCAGUCUGAGACUUGAUUCCAACUGGCCAUAUUAUGCUCUAAAAGACCCAGGAUUUCAGCACAUGUAGUAAGCCAGCAUGCUUCCACUGAGGUUAAUGGAAUCAGCGUUUCUGAAUCAUCUGAGAAUCAGGUCUGAUAACAAUGUAAUUUUGUUUGUAAUUUUGCCUUACUUGUUAUUACACCUGUAAGUCAUACUUUGCCUUGAGUUGAAGCUGUGGGAUUCUGGAUUGGUUUAAGGAGAAUUAUUCUGCAUUUAAAUUUAGAGUAGUUUGAAGCAGACUGUUUCUUUGACAUCCAAAUCCCUAUACACACACAAUUUCUUCAUUCUGCAUAACAGUCAUGUAAAAUAGAUAUUGUGAAAGCAGUAUUUUGUGUAUAAAAAAACAAGGAAAAAAUGUUCCUUGGGGAUGGCAUUGUUCAGAACUUGGUACCUGUGAGUCAAUUCUCUGUGUUUUAUUUCCCUUUGGCUCUGAAGAGGCAGUGCACUUGCUAGCACCAGUCCUGGCACUAAAACUAGAACUAGAAGUCUGUGCAGCACCUGUGCUGAGGGGAAAUCCUGCUAUAUCCUGGCAAGAUAAAAGCAUUACAACUGCCACUGGUGGAAGGAUGUAAUAAGAUAGAUUGGAUUGUCUUACAGGCACACAGACAAAGGUGAAAUGGAAAACAGGGCUUUCCAGUUCUGAAUUUGUCAUAGUUCCCCAUGCAGAAUGUCAGUGUAUAGAUAUAGAAGGGCUAGCAGAUAUAUCCGCGUACAGAUAAGUAUAAAAACUUGCUAACUUUCAAGAGGAGAGACCAUUACAUUUAUAUAUUUAAUCAGUCUGGAAAGAAGAAUGUGAUGUAUUUUAAGAAAAUAAUGGUAACACAUCUUUUAUUGUCAAAUACUGAAACACAAACUUCCAAAAGCCAAUGUUAAUAUAAUUCACAGGAUCACAACUUCUGGUUUGACUUUCUUUUGAAAUUCAAUUUGCAUGAUGAUUUUGAUCAACUGCCUGGGGUUCUCACAUUUAUAUCAUGUGAUAAAAUGUAGACAAAAAAUAUAUAUUUAACUUAUACGAGAAAUCAAAUGCAUACUGUAACAGAAUAUGAAUUAUCUAGCAGGCUGCAGAGUGAUAAAAGGUCAGUACAGAUACAAGCACUGAGCACACUUUGAGCUUUUAAGAUAAGAAUGUAAUUGUAAUCUUCUCCUUGCCUUAAUAAAAAAUAUUUGAAAUAGGAAAAAAAAUAAAAGGGUAAAAUAAAAGCAACUAUUCAGAGAUCAAUGUAAGGCAUCUGGCUGAAAACUGAAGCAAGACAUUUUAAAACAAUUAUUGUCAAUAAAUACGCUGAAUUUAAUUUCUGGGUGCAAGCUAUGCUUGAUAACUCCAAAAUCCCUCUUUGCUCAUUAAUCAUAUGAAGGAAGAUAGUGAAUAAUAUCAUCUUUUUCUCCAUGGGAUGAUCAUGUCUUAGGCAAAUUAGAGUUCUGUUGCCAAGUUGGGAUUGCCAGAAGAGAAAAUUUUUCUUUGUUGGAUUGGAUAAAUACACAGCUGGCUUUGGAAUCAGUUGUAGUGAGAUUGAAAUUAAAAGGUUUAUUUUCAAACACUCUUAUAUGAACACAACAGAAUUUAGAUGCCUGACAUGACAUGGAGGAGAAAUAUGACAUAUGCAAUAUUAUGAACCUGCAUGCUUAGAAAAUCAAAAUGGUCCUGCAUGGUAUUUUCCCUUCAUCUGUUUUUUAGACUUGGUCAGUUCUGUGCAAAUUAUUCUACUUUUUGUUAUGGAUUCCUCUUAUCACUAGGAACCGGUCACUUUGGCCCAAAACAACUGUCAUUGCUGGUUACAUUUCUUUCUAGCUUUAGAGUUUUUUUUGUUCUGUUUCUACAUUGCUUUCUAAAGGAAAUGACUUAAUUGCUAUAAGACACAAAAAUUAAAUAUGGCUAUCCUGUUUCCAAUGUUUCUGAGAUUCUAAAAUUCUCUUCUGAAUUCAUUCUCCUCACUUAGAUCUCUGUAUGUGUGCAGGUGAGAAAACCAUUGGAGGUAUGUGGAAGAGUGGUGGAGGGCUGAGCCCUGGCUGCUUCCCCUACACUUUGCCUGCAGCGUGGAUGGGUCCAGAGGUAGACACGGAGGCACAGCUGCACCUCUGCCUUUUUUUUUUACUGAGGGCACAAACCAUCCUGUUCUAACCAGACCCUGGCUGACUGCUGUGUCUGUGCAGCAUAAACCCUGAACUCAGUAAGAUAACAGUUGUUAUCACAGUGCUUUUUAUCUGGGAGGCAAUGUCUUAAAUUGCAUCUGACCUCUGUAUGCACAGAGAAGCAAGUGAUGAGAGCUCUACCUAGAUCCUCAAAGGUUUUAGAUGAAAUCAGUAAGAGUGCAGUACCUAAACGAAUACUUCUGAGGAUAAUAGCUUCUGUGUCUUUCAUCCAUGUGUUGUACAAGGGAGACUCUGAACAGUAAUUUAUCAAAUGAUGUAUUGUGAGCCUUAGAACACAACAGGAUUUUCAGCACUCUUUUUCCCAAAUAGGUUCACUAAUGCUUGAUUCUAAGCCAUUUCAUUUACUACCACCAUCAUUAGAAUAAUUAAACUAGCUGCGAUAUAGAUUUAACUUUAUUUGUGGGUAAAGCUUCUGACUGUCCUAGGUCACUGAAGUUUAGCAACAAAGCUCCAUACAAAUAGAUUUUUGUAAUAGUACCAAUAGGCUACAUAUGACAAAAAGUAAACAAACUCAUAUUGGUGCGCUGUGUGUGUAUCCAUCUUAGCAUAUUUAUAUUUCUGUGCAGUGCAAGCUCAAGGUAAACCCAUAUGACCAUGUGCUACAAGUCCAGACAAAUAGUUCUUUUGUGCUCUGUUAAGGCAGAAGAAUGAGCUAUUAUUUUUUCUGUAUAUUGGGACCCACUUGUUUGCCAGCAAGUUGUUCAGAUUUCAAUGGGAAGAAAACCAAGCUAAAAUUGCCACACUGCAAAAUUAAAUGAAUUGGAAUUCUGUUCCUCCAUGAAAAGACUUGAAACGAGAUUUAAAUUUUGUGUCUGUUCCAUAAAAUUAACCACUGCAUCUGGUUUUUCUUCUGAAAUUGUUCAGGUAAGUUGAUGAAACUUGGGGGUUAUGUGACAGAAACACAAUCAGAUGGAGAUUUGUUCAGAAAAUUACAAUGCAGAGAGGGACACUUAAUUGGUUCUGUCAGCAAACAGAAAAGCACUAGCUUGCAUUUCCAGAAACUGUCUAAAACUUUUACAAAUAGUCUGACUCAGGUAAAAUCAGGCUAAUUAUAUGUUGGGCUCAAAAAAUACUCAUUAGAAGAACUUUAUUGGGGUUAUAAUGUCCAAAACAUAAAGACAGGAAACAGUGUGAUUAAUAAGCAAUUGGUUUGACAGCCUAUUUUAUCUAUUGCCAUAUUAAUUAUGUGACUGUACAACACAGUACACAGACCUUCAGCUCUAUUCAUUAUCUUAGCUACUCAAUAUCUUAUUUAAACCCACAGAUGAACACAAGUAUUUGCUAUGCUUUAUUCAAAUUAUACUGCAAAGAAUCAUAUUGAUUUUCUUGUGAAAAGGUGAAAAAAAAUCAUGAGAGGUCUCUAGAGUUUCUGGAAGUGAGUGUUCAAAACAGUUAUAACAAAAGAAACUGCUGAAACAGCACCUGCUGCUAACAAUGUGUACGCCAAAUUUCAGCUAUUAUUUUUAAGGACAUUUUUUUCAAUUCUAUUUUAAUAUUAUUGUUAAAUUUUGUGCAGUGUUCACUAAUUAUAACAUAUAAUAAGCCAGCACUUUGCAGUUGUAUUGCUCUGAGGCUUAGUUCUAAGGUGUGAAAGUAUGAUUAAGUUAAUCCAAGAGAUUGAAGUUUAGUAGGAAAAAAAAUGAACAUGCAGAGAAAUUACCUUUUGUCUUUUAGGAAGAAAUUAAAAGUUGGAUUUAAUAUGCUGAUAUGUUAGUACACAAAACGUUUUUCACAGAUAGCAAGACACACACAUUUAUAUAUUUCAGUGGGAACUCUUGCAAGAAUUAGCAAGAGCAAGGACACUGAAAGUGUACUAAAAUUAACGGAUGGCACAGCCAAUCUAUUGUCCUCAUCUGGGAGUCUCCAGAAAGGCUCAGGCGGUAUGACAUUCUGGCAGCCUGCAGAGGUUUUGCUCAUUUUCUGCUCUUAAGUAGCUGCACAUGAUAGCACACAGACGCAGAGGCAGCGAAGUUGCAGAAGAGGGGCAACU